UACGUAGGGCGCAAGCGUUGUCCGGAAUUAUUGGGCGUAAAGAGCUCGUAGGCGGUUUGUCGCGUCUGCUGUGAAAACCUAAGGCUCAACCUUGGGCUUGCAGUGGGUACGGGCAGACUAGAGUGCGGUAGGGGUGACUGGAAUUCCUGGUGUAGCGGUGGAAUGCGCAGAUAUCAGGAGGAACACCGGUGGCGAAGGCGGGUCUCUGGGCAGUAACUGACGCUGGAGGAGCGAAAGCGUGGGGAGCGAACAGGA
Molecule: ribosomal RNA, 255 nt
Filed under: uncultured bacterium
Lineage: Bacteria
Description: partial 16S ribosomal RNA
Rfam family: Bacterial small subunit ribosomal RNA
Source: RNAcentral